GGCCCAAUCUGUCCCAGAAGACGCUAGACCUGCUGGUCACACCUCACAAGUCCACGGACCUCACCGUGGGGAAGAUCUACGCAGCCAUGAUGAUCAUGGAGUACUACCGGCAGAGCAAGGCCAAGAAGCUGCAGGCCAUGCGCGAGGAGCAGGUGCGCUGUUCGCCGCUCUGGGGACACCUGGGCUGGGGACAGUGGCUUGCAUGUCACCAUGGGAACCAACUGGAAUAUGAGGGUGGCUGAGCCCCAGGGCAGGUCCCUGAAAAGUAGGGGCUGGGCACAGCAGCUCACACCUGCAAUCUCAGUGCUUUGAGAGGCCAGGGCAGAGGGAUCGUUUGAGACCAGGAUGAGACCACCCUGGGCAACACAGUGAGACUCCAUCUCUACAAAAUAAAACAUUAGCCAGGCAUGGUGGUGCACACCUGUAGUCCCAGCUAUUUAGGAGGCCAAGAUGGGAGGAUCACUUGAGGCCAGGAGUGGGAGACCAGUCUGGGCAACAUAGAAAGACCCAUAUCGCU
RNAcentral lists this small RNA (517 nucleotides) under Pan troglodytes (chimpanzee). RNAcentral describes it as "retained intron". Lineage: Eukaryota; Metazoa; Chordata; Mammalia; Primates; Hominidae. The record is from RNAcentral.